UACGUAGGGCGCAAGCGUUGUCCGGAAUUAUUGGGCGUAAAGAGCUCGUAGGCGGCUUGGCAAGUCGGGUGUGAAACCUCCAGGCUCAACCUGGAGACGCCACUCGAUACUGCUAUGGCUAGAGUCCGGUAGGGGACCACGGAAUUCCUGAUGUAGCGGUGAAAUGCGCAGAUAUCAGGAGGAACACCGGUGGCGAAGGCGGUGGUCUGGGCCGGCACUGACGCUGAGGAGCGAAAGCGUGGGUAGCAAACAGG
Molecule: ribosomal RNA, 254 nt
Filed under: uncultured bacterium
Lineage: Bacteria
Description: partial 16S ribosomal RNA
Rfam family: Bacterial small subunit ribosomal RNA
Source: RNAcentral